Molecule: long non-coding RNA, 1486 nt
Organism: Anguilla rostrata (American eel)
Lineage: Eukaryota; Metazoa; Chordata; Actinopteri; Anguilliformes; Anguillidae
Exons: 3
Source: RefSeq, a predicted model, not a curated record
UUUUACAAUUUGCACCUGUUGGCGUUCUAUUUAAGCCUCGAGCAAGCCGAUAAGAUUUACUUCAGUGUCACUUACGUUGCACGAGAGCCGGUAAUCUAUCAAGCGAGGUAAAGGUAAAGGUAAAGGAUUGAGAGUUGCGAUAUUGGAUUGUUGUGGCUAUAAAAUUAGCACAACAGUCUUUAGCUAAUAGGUUGUUGGUAACAAGUUAGUGCCACAACCUAAAUUCUUUCUUUAGGGUGUUACUUUUCAGCCUCGGUUCGAGGUCUGUUUUCUUUGAGUUGCUCCGUUUUCUGCUCAGGCAGUUUUGUUUUAUUUUCAGAAAGUUCAUACUCCUUAAGCUUUAGUUUUUUACCCAGUAUGUGGGUUGUUUUGAGCUUUUCUUUGGGAUACUCUCCCUUAGGAGGACUGUUUUCCUUUCCUUUCCUUUUUAUUUUUCCACUGUCCUUUUGUCUCUUGAGACUUUGUGGUUAUUCUACCUUUGGUGAAUAGCUUAAAGAACCCCCCUGUUCAGCCGUGGUUGGUCUCCCAAAACCCCCACUCCCUCAAUUUUUCCCUUGCUCCAAAACCUGACACAUGUCCAUAGUACUUGUUUGAGGGUCUUGUCCCUGUUUCCAUUCUUCAUUUUUACCUGGCUUAAUAAAGAAAGCUAAUGGCUAAAGCUAAAGUCAGAACAUCUGCACAGCUAACGUUUAUCGUUGCCAAGUCAACCAGACAGCCGACUGCAUGCAUGAUCUGAAUGUAGGCUAAAUAAUGGAACGGAUUGGGAAAGAUUUGUUAUUCCUGUUUGAUUCUAAUGAUUUAUGGUUGCACAGUAUAGCUAUUUUAUCAAUCUCUUAAAUAUAGGCAGUGCUAGUUUCCAUUUUAUAUUGCAAAUAAUGAUAUGUAUUAUUUUCUCACACAGCAUGGGUAUAAUCACCUGGAAUCAACCCCUCCAGCUUUUGAAACCGUAUGGCCUCGGGUCUUACACCCCACCUGACAAAUCAUGACAAUACCCCCGGGCACACAUCUAGGUCCAUAUCGAAUUGGUUUUGUCGAGAACAGUGUGGAAGAACUUGACUGGCCUGCACAGAGCCCUGACCUCAACCCCAUCCGACACCUUUUGGAUCCAGUGGAAAGCUAACUGUGAGCCAGCCCUAAUUGCCCAAUCAAUGCCCAACCUCACUAAUGCUCUUUUGAGUGAACGGAAGCAAAUCCCUUAUGCAGUGCUUUAACAUCUGGUAUAAAGCCUUCCCAGAAGAGUGGAGGUUGUUAUAGCAGCAAUGGGUGGACAAACUCCAUAUUAAUGACCAUAAUUUUGAAUGAGAUGUUAGAUGUCAGGUGUCCACAUACUUUUGGCCAUAUAGUGUAUAUAUGACGAGAAAGGAAUAGGACACUUAUCGGAAGUUCACUACUUUGCCAUCAGAGUUGCCAAUUUCCACCGUCUGUGAAAUGUCUCUACCUAUGGGUCAUAGUUUGUGUAAAUGUGCUUGUUUUUGCAUCAAAUUUG